This 462-nucleotide ribosomal RNA is filed under the name uncultured bacterium. RNAcentral's name for it is "partial 16S ribosomal RNA". It matches the Rfam family "Bacterial small subunit ribosomal RNA", at positions 28 to 507 of the family's 1533-position model. The record is from RNAcentral.
GAUGAACGCUGACAGAAUGCUUAACACAUGCAAGUCAUUGGCGAAGCUGCGCUUGCGCAGUCUAGCCAAGGCGGACGGGUGAGUAACGCGUAAGGAACUUGCCCUGCAGACAGGGAUAACAGACGGAAACGACUGAUAACACCUGGUAUUGUCAGGCUGGCGCAUGCCGGCCUGAUGAAAGGAGACGCUGCAGGAGAGCCUUGCGUCCUAUUAGCUAGUUGGUGGGGUAACGGCCCACCAAGGCGAUGAUAGGUAGCCGGCCUGAGAGGGUGAACGGCCACAAGGGGACUGAGAUACGGCCCUUACUCCUACGGGAGGCAGCAGUUGGUAAUAUUGGACAAUGGGGGCAACCCUGAUCCAGCAAUUCUGUGUGCACGAAGAAGGUUUUCGGAUUGUAAAGUGCUUUCAGCAGGGAAGAAGAAAGUGACGGUACCUGCAGAAGAAGCGACGGCUAAAUACGUG